RNAcentral lists this ribosomal RNA (675 nucleotides) under Saprolegnia sp. WM_3. RNAcentral's name for it is "eukaryotic LSU rRNA". It matches the Rfam family "Eukaryotic large subunit ribosomal RNA", at positions 81 to 658 of the family's 3401-position model. The record is from RNAcentral. Lineage: Eukaryota; Oomycota; Saprolegniomycetes; Saprolegniales; Saprolegniaceae.
CAGUAACGGCGAGUGAAGCGGGAAGAGCUCAAACUUAAAAUCUCCACGUUUACGUGGCGAAUUGUAGUCUAUUGAGGCUGUUAUCAGCAUAGCGACCUGGGAGAAGUCCCUUGGAAAAGGGCAGCAAAGAGGGUGAUACUCCCGUCUCUGCUCAGGUUGUCUGUGUGUACGAUACGCUUUUUUUGAGUCGAGUUGUUUGGGAAUACAGCUCAAAGUAGGUGGUAAAUUCCAUCUAAAGCUAAAUAUUGGUGCGAGACCGAUAGCGAACAAGUACCGUGAGGGAAAGAUGAAAAGAACUUUGAAAAGAGAGUUAAAGAGUACCUGAAACUGUUGAAAGGGAACCGUAUCGUUUCCAGUGUUGAAUCCUAUGUAUAUUUCAUUAGCGGAGAAAUUUGCUGGUGCCCUGUGCAUGGGUGUGACGUCAGGGUCAGUUUGUAUGCUGCGGGAGAUGGUCAGUGAGGAGGUGCUUCACUUCGGUGAAAGUUAUAUCUUGCUGUCUAGUAGCCGUGGUUGAGACUGAGGUGCCUACAACAUGCUCUGGGGUUCGAUGUUGUCUCGUUUUGGUGACUGCUUGGAUAGCUUGCUAUGUCUGCGGUUUAUUGAGGCGAUUGAUGGUAUUGAUAACCUCUGCUGUUCGGGACUCUGGCGAAAUGGAGCGAUACGACCCGUCUUGAA